Molecule: long non-coding RNA, 548 nt
Filed under: Musa acuminata (dwarf banana)
Lineage: Eukaryota; Viridiplantae; Streptophyta; Magnoliopsida; Zingiberales; Musaceae
Description: long non-coding RNA (MACU_LNC003150)
Source: RNAcentral
CCAAGUCAUCUUGCGCCUCUGUAUCUUGUCCGCGACCUCUGCACGAGCUCCGACCUCUCCCUGUUGGCCAAAGAUGCCAUGGUUCUUGCAGUUGCCACCUUCUUGACUAGGAGUCCCCAUGUCUUCUCCUCUCCCUGAUCUCUCUCCGCCUUCAAUUUGAACUGCCUGCAGGAGUCACGAGGAAUGGCGAACUUUGUUGAGCUGAAAACUUCCGGCGACCAUGAAACGAGAGAGAGAGAGAGAGAGUUCGUACUUGCAGAGAGGGACUUUGCAGGAUGCAGUUUGAUCGCAGAGGGAGGAGUGGAGGCGGCAGAGCCGCCUCAUUCUCGUGCAAUGUGGGCAGCACUUUGGGACCAACUUAUUGUCGCAGGUGGCGUAGUGGCGGAGGAGGUGUUGCAGUCUCUGGCACGUGAGAGGACUCUUGCACGGGGACUUCUUCCCGCUCGAGGCCUCGUCCGCGCAGCCGCCGGCGAAUGUGUGUUGCAGGCAAUCCAUUGCCUCGCCUAAUAUCUGGUACAUCUCCUGGUUCGCUCGUUCUCUUCUCCAUC